Molecule: ribosomal RNA, 206 nt
Filed under: uncultured bacterium
Lineage: Bacteria
Description: partial 16S ribosomal RNA
Rfam family: Bacterial small subunit ribosomal RNA
Source: RNAcentral
CUCGUAGGUGGCCAACUAAGUCAGACGUGAAAUCCCUCGGCUUAACCGGGGAACUGCGUCUGAUACUGGAUGGCUUGAGUUUGGGAGAGGGACGCGGAAUUCCAGGUGUAGCGGUGAAAUGCGUAGAUAUCUGGAGGAACACCGGUGGCGAAGGCGGCGUCCUGGACCAACACUGACACUGAUGAGCGAAAGCCAGGGAGCAAACG